GUUUUACAAAAGGAGAAACUGAGGCAGGAAGAGGCGGUGGAUGUGCACCAGGGCACGUGGUGCGUCGGUGCAUAGCUGAGGGCACAUGGAACAUUCACCAAGAUAAACCAUAUGCUGGAACAUAAAAUUUAUGGAUGUCGCCCAUGAAGCAGAGUCCUUCAGACCCUCAAUCAAAAACAAGUCUCAUUUUACAUUAAAUUGGAGGACUAUCUGGAGUCUCUGACCACCGUGUGACAGAAAAGAGAGCAGAAUUGUUGCAUGAUGGGUAACACUCAUCAGUAAUCGCUGUUUGCCAAGCCAUCUGGGAGGAGACCAAAGAGCUAUAAAAUAAGUUCAGGCACGGUGGUUCAUGCCUGUAAUCCCAGCACUUUGGGAGGCCGAGGUGGGUGAAUCACCUGAGGUCAGGAGUUCGAGACCAGCCUGGCCAACAUGGUGAAACCCUGUCUCUACUAAAAAUACAAAAAAAAUAGCUGGGUGUGGUGGUGGGUACCUGUAAUCCCAGCUUCUCAGGAGGCUGAGGCAGGAGAACUGCUUGAACCUGGGAGGCAGAAAUUGCAGUGUGCCGAGAUUGUGCCACUACUCUCCAACCUAGGCAACAGAGUGAAUCUACAUCUCAAAAAAAUAAAUAAAUAAAAAUAAAAAAUAUAUAUAUAGGUACCAGAGCUGAGAACGUAGCAGCCUGGGACCAUGUAUUCAGGAGCAAAUAACAAGCCCAGAAAAUGCCUGGGAGAAGUCUUGUACCAGUCUACUUCAUGGUUUAGUAGGAACAUCAUGGACUCAGCUGACAAUGAUUUGGGCAUGGCCCUGCCACUAACCCACGAGAGGCUGUGGACCAGUCCCUUUCAUUUCCCCUUUCUGGGGACCCGCUUCCCCUUGUGCAAAAUGGAGUCACUAGAAUCUAGUGUCUUGAUCUCCAAGAUGAUUUCCACUUUUA
This is a long non-coding RNA of Pan troglodytes (chimpanzee), 934 nucleotides long. RefSeq lists it as uncharacterized. The transcript has 2 exons. The record is from RefSeq and is a predicted model, not a curated record. NCBI's taxonomy places the organism in Eukaryota, Metazoa, Chordata, Mammalia, Primates, Hominidae.